CGGAAAACUGGGGAUAAUACCCUAUAGUCCGGAUGUACUGGAAUGUUAUCCGGAUGAAAGAUCCGUCGCUUCAGGAUGAGUCUGCGGCCGAUUAGGUAGUUGUUGGGGUUACGUCCCACCAAGCCUAUGAUCGGUACGGGUUGUGGGAGCAAGAGCCCGGAGAUGGAUUCUGAGACACGAAUCCAGGCCCUACGGGGCGCAGCAGGCGCGAAAACUUUACAAUGCGGGCAACCGUGAUAAGGAAACCCCGAGUGCCAGCAUAGGCUGGCUGUCCGCCAGCAUAAACACCUGGUGAAGAAAGGGCCGGGCAAGACCGGUGCCAGCCGCCGCGGUAACA
RNAcentral lists this ribosomal RNA (337 nucleotides) under uncultured archaeon. RNAcentral's name for it is "partial 16S ribosomal RNA". It matches the Rfam family "Archaeal small subunit ribosomal RNA", at positions 133 to 475 of the family's 1478-position model. The record is from RNAcentral.